AUGCAGAGGAAGAAACAAUUUGGAGAGCAAGAGAUGCCGUUUGCUAGGGGCACAGAACACGACAGCCAGUUGGAAGUCAUUAAAUUCAGAUGCAGCUGCAUUUCUGACAAGAGUUCUUGGCCACCCCUGCUCUGUCUCCAUCCAGAAUAGUUCUUGCGGGGCACACUGCUCAGAUAUGAUAUAAAGGUAUUGGAAAGAAAACCUCUCUUAUGGAAACAGCAACAAAUUCCAAACUAUCUGGGUAGCACAAGCAAUUUACUCUCCUUCAACUUAAAGAAUUGUUGCUUUAUGGCCAUUUUCCUUGAGUUUAUUGAUUUCAUAUGCAGUUUUUUUUUUACAAUGCCAUAAUGCAUCUGGGCUUCAUGCACAGAGACAGAAAGGAUAACUAACAUUGGUGUCAUCUGUCAACCCAAAGUAAUCAAUGGCACCUGGUCUCUACUUAGAAGUGCAAAGCAUCAAGGAGCAAAGUCUCUUCAAUCAAAGUGCCUCAAGGACAAGAAAGGCAAGGAUGUUGCAGAAGAGAAAACAACAAAAAUAAGAAAAAAAUCCUAAUGUUAAAUGUUUGUUCGAAAGUAUCAUGUUUAAGUUUUACGGCAUCUUUUGUCAAAUGCCACUUUAGUGGCAUUGUAAAUGCUUAGUCAUUUGUGUGUCAAUGUUUGCUCUAUCCACUAAGAAAAGGUGUGGGUUGCUUAAUAAUUUCCAAAGGUUAUUAAUAUGUGUAUUCAAGGAAUAUGGAUCCACUUUAACAGAACAUAAUUAGGAAGGAAAUUUGCUGCCACAUCAAAGUCCUAUAAUACUUUAUUAAUAUACAAAAACUUACAUAGAAUCUUGUUUCACUUACAUAUAUCUGUGUACCCAUUCAUUACUGUCAGCAAAAAACAAAUAAUGAAAUACUGAGUAGAAAUUUAUAAUACUCAGAGGCAGACCCAAGCAAAAUUCUGGAGUGGAUGAAACCAUUCUUUCUUCUUUCUAACCUUUCAAGGCCUGUGUUUUU
RNAcentral lists this long non-coding RNA (994 nucleotides) under Felis catus (domestic cat). Its description in RNAcentral is "lncRNA (ENSFCAG00000045508.2)". Lineage: Eukaryota; Metazoa; Chordata; Mammalia; Carnivora; Felidae. The record is from RNAcentral.